This 485-nucleotide ribosomal RNA is filed under the name uncultured bacterium. RNAcentral describes it as "partial 16S ribosomal RNA". It matches the Rfam family "Bacterial small subunit ribosomal RNA", at positions 28 to 507 of the family's 1533-position model. The record is from RNAcentral.
GAUGAACGCUGGCGGCGUGCUUAACACAUGCAAGUCGAACGGGAUCCAAGGGGUGCUUGCACUUUUUGGUGAGAGUGGCGAACGGGUGAGUAACACGUGAGUAACCUGUCCUUUUCUUUGGGAUAAGCAUUCGAAAGGGUGUUUAAUACCUUAUGUUCUGUCUGCCUCGCAUGGGGUGGGUGGUAAAGGCUUUGGCCGGAUUUGGGUGGGCUCGCGGUCUAUCAGCUUGUUGGUGGGGUGAUGGCUUACCAAGGCUUUGACGGGUAGCCGGCCUGAGAGGGUGGUCGGUCAGAUUGGGACUGAGAUACGGCCCAGACUCCUGCGGGAGGCAGCAGUGGGGGAUAUUGCACAAUGGGCGAAAGCCUGAUGCAGCGACGCCGCGUGGGGGAUGAAGGCCUUCGGGUUGUAAACUUCUUUUGCUCUGAACAAGGCAUGCCAGUGGGUGUGUUGAGUGUAGGGGUUGAUUAGCGCCGGCUAACUACGUG